CAGCCGCCACGGUAAUACGUAGGGGGCAAGCGUUGUCCGGAAUCAUUGGGCGUAAAGCGUGCGUAGGUGGUGGUUUAAGUCCGUUGUGAAAGCCCUGGGCUCAACCUGGGAAUUGCAGUGGAUACUGGGUCACUAGAGUGUGGUAGAGGAUAGUGGAAUUUCCGGUGUAGCAGUGAAAUGCGUAGAGAUCGGAAGGAACAUCUGUGGCGAAGGCGACUAUCUGGGACAACACUGACGCUGAGGCACGAAAGCGUGGGGAGCAAACAGGAUUAGAUACCCGCGUAGUCCCUGUCUCUUAUAC
This 301-nucleotide ribosomal RNA is filed under the name uncultured bacterium. RNAcentral's name for it is "partial 16S ribosomal RNA". It matches the Rfam family "Bacterial small subunit ribosomal RNA", at positions 509 to 807 of the family's 1533-position model. The record is from RNAcentral.